RNAcentral lists this transfer RNA (73 nucleotides) under Bacillus phage vB_BanS-Thrax1. It matches the Rfam family "tRNA". Rfam says of the family: Transfer RNA (tRNA) molecules are approximately 80 nucleotides in length. Their secondary structure includes four short double-helical elements and three loops (D, anti-codon, and T loops). Lineage: Duplodnaviria; Heunggongvirae; Uroviricota; Caudoviricetes. The record is from Rfam by way of RNAcentral.
GCAGGUGUAGCUCAGUUGGUAGAGCAAUUGAUUUGUAAUCAAUAGGUCGCAGGUUCAAACCCUGUCACCUGCU